RNAcentral lists this ribosomal RNA (707 nucleotides) under Pediococcus pentosaceus. RNAcentral's name for it is "bacterial SSU rRNA". It matches the Rfam family "Bacterial small subunit ribosomal RNA", at positions 49 to 711 of the family's 1533-position model. Lineage: Bacteria; Bacillati; Bacillota; Bacilli; Lactobacillales; Lactobacillaceae. The record is from RNAcentral.
UAAUACAUGCAAGUCGAACGAACUUCCGUUAAUUGAUUAUGACGUACUUGUACUGAUUGAGAUUUUAACACGAAGUGAGUGGCGAACGGGUGAGUAACACGUGGGUAACCUGCCCAGAAGUAGGGGAUAACACCUGGAAACAGAUGCUAAUACCGUAUAACAGAGAAAACCGCAUGGUUUUCUUUUAAAAGAUGGCUCUGCUAUCACUUCUGGAUGGACCCGCGGCGUAUUAGCUAGUUGGUGAGGUAAAGGCUCACCAAGGCAGUGAUACGUAGCCGACCUGAGAGGGUAAUCGGCCACAUUGGGACUGAGACACGGCCCAGACUCCUACGGGAGGCAGCAGUAGGGAAUCUUCCACAAUGGACGCAAGUCUGAUGGAGCAACGCCGCGUGAGUGAAGAAGGGUUUCGGCUCGUAAAGCUCUGUUGUUAAAGAAGAACGUGGGUAAGAGUAACUGUUUACCCAGUGACGGUAUUUAACCAGAAAGCCACGGCUAACUACGUGCCAGCAGCCGCGGUAAUACGUAGGUGGCAAGCGUUAUCCGGAUUUAUUGGGCGUAAAGCGAGCGCAGGCGGUCUUUUAAGUCUAAUGUGAAAGCCUUCGGCUCAACCGAAGAAGUGCAUUGGAAACUGGGAGACUUGAGUGCAGAAGAGGACAGUGGAACUCCAUGUGUAGCGGUGAAAUGCGUAGAUAUAUGGAAGAACACCA